GACGAACGCUGGCGGCGUGCCUAAUACAUGCAAGUCGUACGCUUCUUUUUCCACCGGAGCUUGCUCCACCGGAAAAAGAAGAGUGGCGAACGGGUGAGUAACACGUGGGUAACCUACCCAUCAGAAGGGGAUAACACUUGGAAACAGGUGCUAAUACCGUAUAACAAUCGAAACCGCAUGGUUUUGAUUUGAAAGGCGCUUUCGGGUGUCGCUGAUGGAUGGACCCGCGGUGCAUUAGCUAGUUGGUGAGGUAACGGCUCACCAAGGCUACGAUGCAUAGCCGACCUGAGAGGGUGAUCGGCCACAUUGGGACUGAGACACGGCCCAAACUCCUACGGGAGGCAGCAGUAGGGAAUCUUCGGCAAUGGACGAAAGUCUGACCGAGCAACGCCGCGUGAGUGAAGAAGGUUUUCGGAUCGUAAAACUCUGUUGUUAGAGAAGAACAAGGAUGAGAGUAACUGUUCAUCCCUUGACGGUAUCUAACCAGAAAGCCACGGCUAACUACGUGCCAGCAGCCGCGGUAAUACGUAGGUGGCAAGCGUUGUCCGGAUUUAUUGGGCGUAAAGCGAGCGCAGGCGGUUUCUUAAGUCUGAUGUGAAAGCCCCCGGCUCAACCGGGGAGGGUCAUUGGAAACUGGGAGACUUGAGUGCAGAAGAGGAGAGUGGAAUUCCAUGUGUAGCGGUGAAAUGCGUAGAUAUAUGGAGGAACACCAGUGGCGAAGGCGGCUCUCUGGUCUGUAACUGACGCUGAGGCUCGAAAGCGUGGGGAGCAAACAGGAUUAGAUACCCUGGUAGUCCACGCCGUAAACGAUGAGUGCUAAGUGUUGGAGGGUUUCCGCCCUUCAGUGCUGCAGCUAACGCAUUAAGCACUCCGCCUGGGGAGUACGACCGCAAGGUUGAAACUCAAAGGAAUUGACGGGGCCCCGCACAAGCGGUGGAGCAUGUGGUUUAAUUCGAAGCAACGCGAAGAACCUUACCAGGUCUUGACAUCCUUUGACCACUCUAGAGAUAGAGCUUCCCCUUCGGGGGCAAAGUGACAGGUGGUGCAUGGUUGUCGUCAGCUCGUGUCGUGAGAUGUUGGGUUAAGUCCCGCAACGAGCGCAACCCUUAUUGUUAGUUGCCAUCAUUCAGUUGGGCACUCUAGCAAGACUGCCGGUGACAAACCGGAGGAAGGUGGGGAUGACGUCAAAUCAUCAUGCCCCUUAUGACCUGGGCUACACACGUGCUACAAUGGGAAGUACAACGAGUCGCGAAGUCGCGAGGCUAAGCUAAUCUCUUAAAGCUUCUCUCAGUUCGGAUUGUAGGCUGCAACUCGCCUACAUGAAGCCGGAAUCGCUAGUAAUCGCGGAUCAGCACGCCGCGGUGAAUACGUUCCCGGGCCUUGUACACACCGCCCGUCACACCACGAGAGUUUGUAACACCCGAAGUCGGUGAGGUAACCUUUUGGAGCCAGCCGCCUAAGGUGGGAUAGAUGAUUGGGGUGAAG
This 1485-nucleotide ribosomal RNA is filed under the name Lactobacillus helveticus. RNAcentral describes it as "bacterial SSU rRNA". It matches the Rfam family "Bacterial small subunit ribosomal RNA". The record is from RNAcentral. Lineage: Bacteria; Bacillati; Bacillota; Bacilli; Lactobacillales; Lactobacillaceae.